Molecule: long non-coding RNA, 3001 nt
Filed under: Canis lupus familiaris (dog)
Lineage: Eukaryota; Metazoa; Chordata; Mammalia; Carnivora; Canidae
Description: lncRNA (ENSCAFG00040015869.1)
Source: RNAcentral
AUGUGCUCAAACCACCGUAGGUGGUGUGUCCGUGACACAGCGGAUCUGCGGCUUGGUGGGUGCUGCCAUCCUUUCUCCAUCUCAAAUGGGAAGACCCGAAGGGCAGCUGCCAGAACUCAGCUGCUGGAGGCCAUCGCUCAGACCAUAUGUGGCCCAAUACCCCAGCUGUUCUCUCUAAUAAGUUCUCCACUCAAAGAGAAUAAGAUUCCCAGGAUGAUUGUGCUUUCCCAUCCUAGAGAAGCAAGAAUAUGGUUAAGGAUGCGCGGGGGGUGGGGGGGUGCAGUGCUGAGAAGUCCUCUGCUGGGCAGGCACAGUGUGAGCAGCAGAAAGAUAAGGAUAAGUAGGCUAACCUGAAAUAAGUCAGGUGUGCAAAGAAGCAGGACAACACAAACAGAAUGUCCAGAAAGUCAAAAUCUGCUUCUGACCAUGGAUAAGCCUCUACAGAAGUGGGCACCUUUGUGACCAAAAGGGCAGAAAAUGAAAGCAAAAAAUGAGCAACGACAUGAGAGAUGCUCUCCAGGGUGGCUGUAGGUUCCCUCUCCUCGUUUUGUACUUUAAAGACAAAGUUUAGGGGCACCUGGGUGGCUCAGUUGUUGAGCGUCUGCCUUUGGCUCAGGGAGUGAUCCUGGGGUCCUGGGAUCGAGUUCUGAAUUGGGUUCCCCAUAGGGAGCCUGCUUCUCUCUCUGCCUAUGUCUCUGCCUCUCUCUCUCUGUGUCUCUCAUGAGUAAAUAAAUAAAAUCUUUAAAAAAUGUUUAGAGAAGAAAAUUUGCUUAGAGAAAUUUAACUUGUCAAAUUCCCAAUUUGGGUGAAUUUGUUGGGUAAAUAUUAGAGAGAUAUUAAUUGCUUAAAGCAAUAUCAAUUACUCAAUAGAUUUAGAAGGUUAAUGAAUGGGACAUGAAACCAAGUUCACAUACUAGUGAGGAUUUCUUUCUACCAGUGAAGGCCCUUGUACUUUCAAGAAUUUAAUAAAUAACCUCUCCUACCCCUACUUCCAUAAGCUUGUCUGUAGUGACACUGCCGCCCUCUAGGGGGCUCAGGCUGUUCCUUGUGACUUCUUCCCUCACUGCUCCCACCACUUCACCACUUCCUGUCUUCCCCCUUCAAUGUCUUCCCCUGCACCCUCGCUGGCACCUUCUCUAAGGCCUAAAUGAGCUCAAACCUACUCCAUUAAAAUAACCAGUCUUGUCUUGACCCCAUGCACUCCUCACAGCUUAACUCCUCUUCCUCACCUCUCAUUCCCUCCCCUGCCAGACUGUCCAGCAUCUCUCCAUCUCCCCUUUCCACUAAUAACCAAUUAGUUGCUAAAUCUAAUGGACACUCCAGCUCCCCAGCUGGAUUUCUCUGUAGCAUUUGACAUGUGCAGCCUCUCCCUUCUUGGAAAUGUCUGCUUUCAGUCCCCUUCCUACCUCUUUGAUGGUUUCUUCCCUAUCUUCUAGGAUGGCUCUUCUUCCUCCUAUCACCUCCCCCCAUGUCAGUGCUCCCCAAAGUUGGUGUUUCCUGAGCUAUCUUCUCCUUACACUCUGCACACUUUUGUAAUUUGGUCCUCUGCCAAGUUGCCCUAUCUUAGUCAAUCACAUCCCUAUCCACCCAUUGCUCAAGCCAGAAACCCAGAGUAAUUGCAAAACUUCCACCUUAUCUGGCCAACCAUCAAGGAGCUAUCCAUUGGCUUCCAUAUAGCUGAUGAUCUUUCUACAGCCCAAAUCGGAGCCUAUCACUCCUUGCUAAUGUUCAAAUCUCAUAGCUCUAAUUUCCAGGUUCUUUCUUCCUCUUCAUUCCCUCCAGUGAUGCAGUAGACUACAUGUAGACUGUGGAUGAUUAUCACAGGGCAUGGCACACAUUAGAUGCUCAAUAAAUGUUUGUUGAAUGAAUGUACACGCUGAAAGGUAUAGGUAAGAAGAUGGGAAAAAGAAAUACCAUGCAGUUCUCAAUGGUCAAACUUAUAACAAUCUGAGCAAAAAAUAAAGUAGUAUUGGAUUAUAACCCAAGGUAUAAAAUAAAUAUCCAUGAGUCUAUAUUGAUAUAUUUAAUAUAUAUUUAAAUGAUUGACUAAAUUAAUAAAUGAGGGGAAGAGAUAAAUCUAAGCAGAAGAAUUCUAAAUAAUAUACAUUGAUAUUCCGCCCUCAAGUGGGGGGAGUAUAACUCCCCACUCUUCAAGUGUAGGAAGUGCAUAGUGAUUCUCUUCAAAAAGACUACAGUUUGGGAAGUGUGUCAGGGGGAAGCACAUAACUUUAUAAUGGGUAACUGGGCAAAUGCUACCUCAGCCAGUGAGCAAGGUCCACAUCAUUAGUCAUUAAUUAUGUUGAUAGUAUGUAUACUUGAUAUGAUGGGAUGAAUAUGGGACUCUAUGAUCUUCCUUCCUAAAACUCAUGACCUCAAUCUAAUCAUGAGAGAAGAAUCAGGGGUGCCUGGGUGGCUCAGUGAGUUAACCAUCUGCCUUCAGCUCAGGUCAUGAUCCCAGGGUCCUAGGUCGGGCUCCCUGCUGAGUGGGGAGUCUUCUUCUUUCUCUCCCUCUGCCACUCCCUUGCUUCCCCUUCUUGUGCUCUCUCUCUCAAAUAAAUACAAUCUGUUUUUUUAAAUGAGAGAAGCAUCAGACAGAUUCCCAUACAGCAGUGUGAUAGUUAGGUCUAUGUGUCAACUUUACUAGUCUAUAGUGCUCCAUCAUUCAAUCAAACACCAAUCUAGGUGUUUCUGUGAAGGUAUUUGUAUAUAUGAUUAACAUCUGCAAUCUGUUGACUUUAAGUAAAGAACAAUAUGGAUGGUCCUCUCCAAUCAGUUGAAAGACCUUAAGAACAAAAGUAAGGGCUCCCUGAUGGAGAACUUCUACCUGUGGACUGCAGUGUCAGCACCUGCCCUACAGACUUUGAACUUGCCUAACCAGCCCCCUCAAUUGAGUAAGCCAAUUUCUUGGCAAUAAAGCAGUAAAUAAAAUAUACCAAAUAUUUAUAGUUAAAUAUCUCUAUGUGUAUAUUAGUAUAUAAACAUUUAUCUAUAAAUAUCUAAA